GACGGGGACCCGCACAAGCGGUGGAUGAUGUGGAUAAUUCGAUGCAACGCGAAAACCUUACCUACCCUUGACAUGUCCGGAAUCCCGAAGAGAUUUGGGAGUGCUCGCAAGAGAGCCGGAACACAGGUGCUGCAUGGCUGUCGUCAGCUCGUGUCGUGAGAUGUUGGGUUAAGUCCCGCAACGAGCGCAACCCUUGUCAUUAGUUGCCAUCAUUUGGUUGGGCACUCUAAUGAGACUGCCGGUGACAAACCGGAGGAAGGUGGGGAUGACGUCAAGUCCUCAUGGCCCUUAUGGGUAGGGCUUCACACGUCAUACAAUGGUCGGUACAGAGGGUUGCCAACCCGCGAGGGGGAGCUAAUCCCACAAAGCCGAUCGUAGUCCGGAUCGCAGUCUGCAACUCGACUGCGUGAAGUCGGAAUCGCUAGUAAUCGUGGAUCAGCAUGUCACGGUGAAUACGUUCCCGGGUCUU
This 469-nucleotide ribosomal RNA is filed under the name uncultured Rhodocyclaceae bacterium. Its description in RNAcentral is "bacterial SSU rRNA". It matches the Rfam family "Bacterial small subunit ribosomal RNA", at positions 912 to 1382 of the family's 1533-position model. The record is from RNAcentral. Lineage: Bacteria; Pseudomonadati; Pseudomonadota; Betaproteobacteria; Rhodocyclales; Rhodocyclaceae.